GCCGGGCGUGGUGGCGGGCGCCUGUAGUCCCAGCUACUCGGAGGCUGAGGCGGGAGAAUGGCGUGAACCCGGGAGGCGGAGCUUGCAGUGAGCCGAGAUCCGGCCACUGCACUCCAGCCUGGGCGACAGCGCAAGACUCCGUCUCAA
This 147-nucleotide small RNA is filed under the name Papio anubis (olive baboon). RNAcentral describes it as "Metazoan signal recognition particle RNA (ENSPANG00000042683.1)". The record is from Rfam by way of RNAcentral. Lineage: Eukaryota; Metazoa; Chordata; Mammalia; Primates; Cercopithecidae.